GGCAUCAGGAAGAAAGCUUGCUUUCUUUGCUGGCGACCGGCGCACGGGUGAGUAACACGUAUCCAACCUGCCCUUUACUCGGGGAUAGCCUUUCGAAAGAAAGAUUAAUACCCGAUAGCAUAAUGAUUCCGCAUGGUUUCAUUAUUAAAGGAUUCCGGUAAAGGAUGGGGAUGCGUUCCAUUAGGUUGUUGGUGAGGUAACGGCCCACCAAGCCUUCGAUGGAUAGGGGUUCUGAGAGGGAGGUCCCCCACAUUGGAACUGAGACACGGUCCAAACUCCUACGGGAGGCAGCAGUGAGGAAUAUUGGUCAAUGGCGGUAGCCUGAACCAGCCAAGUAGCGUGAAGGAUGAAGGCUCUAUGGGUCGUAAACUUCUUUUAUAUAAGAAUAAAGUGCAGUAUGUAUACUGUUUUGUAUGUAUUAUAUGAAUAAGGAUCGGCUAACUCCGUGCCAGCAGCCGCGGUAAUACGGAGGAUCCGAGCGUUAUCCGGAUUUAUUGGGUUUAAAGGGAGCGUAGGUGGACUGGUAAGUCAGUUGUGAAAGUUUGCGGCUCAACCGUAAAAUUGCAGUUGAUACUGUCAGUCUUGAGUACAGUAGAGGUGGGCGGAAUUCGUGGUGUAGCGGUGAAAUGCUUAGAUAUCACGAAGAACUCCGAUUGCGAAGGCAGCUCACUGGACUGCAACUGACACUGAUGCUCGAAAGUGUAGGUAUCAAACAGG
Molecule: ribosomal RNA, 717 nt
Filed under: uncultured bacterium
Lineage: Bacteria
Description: bacterial SSU rRNA
Rfam family: Bacterial small subunit ribosomal RNA
Source: RNAcentral